UCCUGACUAAUUGUUCCACAUGGAACAUUAGACACUAGCCAAGACAGGAGAUAAUAAUG
RNAcentral lists this non-coding RNA (59 nucleotides) under unclassified sequences. Its description in RNAcentral is "Mu-gpT-DE RNA". It matches the Rfam family "Mu-gpT-DE RNA". The record is from Rfam by way of RNAcentral.